CUGCUGCCUUCCGUAGGAGUCUGGGCCGUGUCUCAGUCCCAGUGUGGGGGACCUUCCUCUCAGAACCCCUACGCAUCGUCGGUUAGGUGGGCCGUUACCCCGCCUACUGCCUAAUGCGCCGCAUGCCCAUCCCUGUCCGGCCGAAGCCUUUCCUGCCUCCGGGAUGCCCCGGGUGGCAUGUACGCGGGUUUAGCCCGCCUUUCGGCGGGUUGUCCCCCUGACGAGGGGCGAGGUUGCAUACGUGUUACUCACCCGUGCGCCGGUCGCCGGCGGAGAAAG
This 279-nucleotide ribosomal RNA is filed under the name uncultured bacterium. Its description in RNAcentral is "partial 16S ribosomal RNA". The record is from RNAcentral.